UGCGAACGCUGGCGGCAGGCCUAACACAUGCAAGUCGAACGGACCCUUCGGGGUUAGUGGCGGACGGGUGAGUAACACGUGGGAACGUGCCUUUAGGUUCGGAAUAGCUCCUGGAAACGGGUGGUAAUGCCGAAUGUGCCCUUCGGGGGAAAGAUUUAUCGCCUUUAGAGCGGCCCGCGUCUGAUUAGCUUGUUGGUGGGGUAAUGGCCCACCAAGGCUACGAUCAGUAGCUGGUCUGAGAGGAUGACCAGCCACAUUGGGACUGAGACACGGCCCAAACUCCUACGGGAGGCAGCAGUGGGGAAUCUUGCGCAAUGGGCGAAAGCCUGACGCAGCCAUGCCGCGUGUAUGAUGAAGGUCUUAGGAUUGUAAAAUACUUUCACCGGUGAAGAUAAUGACUGUAGCCGGAGAAGAAGCCCCGGCUAACUUCGUGCCAGCAGCCGCGGUAAUACGAAGGGGGCUAGCGUUGCUCGGAAUUACUGGGCGUAAAGGGAGCGUAGGCGUACAUUUAAGUCGA
Molecule: ribosomal RNA, 517 nt
Filed under: uncultured bacterium
Lineage: Bacteria
Description: bacterial SSU rRNA
Rfam family: Bacterial small subunit ribosomal RNA
Source: RNAcentral